Long non-coding RNA from Tribolium castaneum (red flour beetle), 1483 nucleotides. RefSeq lists it as uncharacterized. Lineage: Eukaryota; Metazoa; Arthropoda; Insecta; Coleoptera; Tenebrionidae. The transcript is spliced from 3 exons. The record is from RefSeq and is a predicted model, not a curated record.
UCCACUUGAUAAACAUGUGGGUAUGACUGUUUACAGUCCGCCCAUCUCUGUCAUUUUCACUUAUUUUUAGACGCAGCGCAACCAGACUUAUUUUUAUCAAUCAAACCGGUAGCACCGAUUUUUGACACUAAUCAUUUUUCUGAAUGGGCGGAAAAGCUGCGCAAUGAAAUUAGCAAUUAACCCAGUUAUUUGGGCGAUUUAAUCUGGAAGUGUCGAAGUGACCCCGUGGUGACCCCUCGUUAUCAGCGGUUGAUCUAGUCUCUCUCUACACAUUCUUACAACAUAUAGUUGGUUCUCAACUGUAACAGCUAUACUUAGUUGGAUGGAUAACUACAAAGAAUUCCAUCAUGAAAUUUUAUUGCGUACAUAGUGAACAAAAAUGGCUAUAUGUUGCGCGCUUUUUGCAACCAUUCUUUCUUAUUGCAAUUGUGGAUUCUUUUAAUGUAAUUACGGACGCCAAUUACUCGAAUUUCUUUUUCAAGAAUCUUAAGCCGCGUUCACACAAUUGAAUUUCGCGUUGAAAAAUCCCACACCACCUGUGCCUCCGCUGCUGACCCUAGACAUCUGUCAAGUGUAACAAGUCAUUUACCAACCGGAAAAACUAGUGAUUUUAUUGAGUCUACAACUACAACUAUGAAUGAAUUUAGUCGGGUAAUGGUGCCAAUACAGUCACCAUGUCUACGUGAUUUUAACGAAAAAGUGAAAUUUCGAUUCGAAUCCUUGACCUUCAGAAUUAUUUAUGGUCAUAUAUGGCGCGCUCGGAAGAUUUUAUUCAUUCCUAAUUAGCUUACGUAACUCUCCAAAUAUUUAGGGAUAAAUUAUGGAUUCACACUAAAUGCAUUGCAUAUCCAAACAGUAUUUGCCAAACCGUUCGCCAAAUGUUCCCAAAAGUGGAGAAACAAUUAAGGAAAUGCCUCUAACUUUGGUGAUCGUUUCUAGCUUCAAAUGUGGAACUUUUUCUUACGAGAUUCGUCAAAAAAGUUUUGCUCAAGAAGCCCUUCUUAGUAUAAACUUUCAGCUAACGUUUUAAUUCAAUAAAUUGUUUGCGAAGUUUAUUCAUUGUUCUCUUAGUAAUAAAUUAAAUACAACAUCUACCUAUAAUUUGUAAUAUUUUACUUUUUAUAGUACAAUCAAAAAUAUCGAUUCAAACGUUCCCAAUGUUUUUUUAAAAGCUUGAGCUUCAUCAAUUUUUUUAAUUGUAUAACUUUGACUGUUAUUGUUUUAAUUGUUGACAAUUUUAACAAAGUUAUUUAUUCAUAAACAUUGAAGUCGUUGAUGUUAGUUUGUACACCUGAUGUUUUUAGGCAAUUGUAAUUUAUUGGGUAGGUAUUAUACCUGUGUAACUGUAAUAUAAAGAAAAUCCACCGUUUCUAAUUAUUUUUUCUGGGGAGAUUGAAAAGUCUUGGUACUCAUAAGCAGACAAAACAAUUUUUUGUCUUUCUAAUCUAAUUUUAACGGCUAAUAAAAAAUAUUAUAACUUUUA